This 1461-nucleotide ribosomal RNA is filed under the name metagenome. Its description in RNAcentral is "bacterial LSU rRNA". It matches the Rfam family "Bacterial large subunit ribosomal RNA", at positions 1478 to 2925 of the family's 2925-position model. The record is from RNAcentral.
GAAGGUAGCCCCCGCGUGGCGAUGGUAGUCCACGUCCAAGGGUGUAGGGAGUGAGAUGGGCAAAUCCGCCUCACACAUAUCCUGAGACCUGAUAGUGACCGCGAAUGCGGGAAGCAGGGUGAUCCUAUGCUGCCAAGAAAAUCUUCUAGCGAGGUUCGAGCCGCCCGUACCCCAAACCGACUCAGGUGGUUAGGUAGAGAAUACCAAGGCGAUCGAGUGAAUCGUGGUUAAGGAAUUCGGCAAAAUGCCCCCGUAACUUCGGGAGAAGGGGGGCCCAGACUCUGAAGUCACUUGCUGACUAGGGGAAAGGGCCGCAGAGACCAGGGAGAAGCGACUGUUUACUAAAAACACAGGUCCGUGCGAAGUCGCAAGACGAUGUAUACGGACUGACGCCUGCCCGGUGCUGGAAGGUUAAGAGGACGGGUUAGAUCUUCGGGUCGAAGCUCAGAAUUUAAGCCCCAGUAAACGGCGGUGGUAACUAUAACCAUCCUAAGGUAGCGAAAUUCCUUGUCGGGUAAGUUCCGACCUGCACGAAUGGCGUAACGACUUCUCCACUGUCUCAACCGCGAACUCGGCGAAAUUGCACUACGAGUAAAGAUGCUCGUUACGCGCAGCAGGACGGAAAGACCCCGGGACCUUCACUAUAGCUUGGUAUUGGUGUUCGGGACGGCUUGUGUAGGAUAGGUGGGAGACUUUGAAGCCGGCACGCCAGUGUCGGUGGAGUCAACGUUGAAAUACCACUCUGGUCGUUCUGGAUGUCUAACCUCGGUCCGUGAUCCGGAUCAGGGACAGUGCCUGGUGGGUAGUUUAACUGGGGCGGUUGCCUCCUAAAAGGUAACGGAGGCGCUCAAAGGUUCCCUCAGCCUGGUUGGCAAUCAGGUGUCGAGUGUAAGUGCACAAGGGAGCUUGACUGCGAGAGAGACAUCUCGAGCAGGGACGAAAGUCGGAACUAGUGACCCGGCGGUGGCUUGUGGAAGCGCCGUCGCUCAACGGAUAAAAGGUACCCCGGGGAUAACAGGCUGAUCUUGCCCAAGAGUCCAUAUCGACGGCAUGGUUUGGCACCUCGAUGUCGGCUCGUCGCAUCCUGGGGGUGGAGUCGCUCCCAAGGGUUGGGCUGUUCGCCCAUUAAAGCGGUACGCGAGCUGGGUUUAGAACGUCGUGAGACAGUUCGGUCCCUAUCCGCUGCGCGCGUAGGAAACUUGAGAAAGGCUGACCCUAGUACGAGAGGACCGGGUUGGACGAACCUCUGGUGUGUCAGUUGUUCUGCCAAGAGCACCGCUGAUUAGCUACGUUCGGAAGUGAUAACCGCUGAAAGCAUCUAAGCGGGAAGCACGUUUCAAGAUGAGGUUUCCAUGGGGCUUGCCCCGAGAGGCUCCCGGCUAGACUACCGGGUUGAUAGGCCAGACGUGGAAGUGCAGUAAUGCAUGUAGCUGACUGGUACUAAUAAGCCGAUAACUUGAU